GAGAUUUUCGCAAUGCCCGAAAGGGUGACGAAGCGACGCCGCGUGCGGGAAGAAGGCCUUCGGGUUGUAAACCGCUGUCGGGAGUUAAGAAAUGUAAGGAUGUUAAUAGCAUCUUUGCUUGACUAAGGCUCCGGAGGAAGCCACGGCUGACUCUGUGCCAGCAGCCGCGGUAAUACAGAGGCGGCAAGCGUUGUUCGGAAUUAUUGGGCGUAAAGAGCACGUAGGCGGCUAUGUAAGUCGGUUGUGAAAGCCUUCCGCUCAACGGGAGAACAGCAUCCGAUACUGCAUGGCUUGAGUGCGGGAGGGGAGAGUGGAACUUCUGGUGGAGCGGUGAAAUGCGUAGAUAUCAGAAGGAACGCCGGCGGCGAAAGCGGCUCUCUGGCCCAUAACUGACGCUGAGUGUGCGAAAGCUAGGGGAGCAAACGGGAUUAGAUACCCCGGUAGUCCUAGCCGUAAACGAUGGGCACUAAGUAGAGGGGUUUUA
RNAcentral lists this ribosomal RNA (484 nucleotides) under uncultured bacterium. Its description in RNAcentral is "bacterial SSU rRNA". It matches the Rfam family "Bacterial small subunit ribosomal RNA", at positions 359 to 833 of the family's 1533-position model. The record is from RNAcentral.